Molecule: ribosomal RNA, 442 nt
Filed under: uncultured bacterium
Lineage: Bacteria
Description: partial 16S ribosomal RNA
Rfam family: Bacterial small subunit ribosomal RNA
Source: RNAcentral
CCUACGGGUGGCAGCAGUGGGGAAUAUUGGGCAAUGGGCGCAAGCCUGAUCCAGCAACGCCGCGUGAAGGAAGAAGGCUUUCGGGUUGUAAACUUCUUUUGACAGGGAAGAGUUGAAGACCUUCCCUGUUGAAUCAGUCCCGGCCAACUACGGGCCAGCAGACGCGGUAACACGUAGGUGGCAAGUGUUUUCCGGGUGUACUGGGUGUAAAGGGCGUGUAGACGGGUGGAAAAGUCAGGAGUGAAAUCCUACGGCUUAACCACCGAACUGCUUUGGAAACUGUGGAGUUUGAGUGCUGGAGAGGCAAGCGGAAUUCCUAGUGUAGCGGUGAAAGGCGUAGAUAUUAGGAGGAACACCAGUGGCGAAGGCGGUUUACUGGACAGCAACUGACGUUGAGGCGCGAAAGCGUGGGGAGCAAACAGGAUUAGAUACCCCGGUAGUC